Molecule: ribosomal RNA, 233 nt
Filed under: uncultured bacterium
Lineage: Bacteria
Description: partial 16S ribosomal RNA
Rfam family: Bacterial small subunit ribosomal RNA
Source: RNAcentral
UACGUAGGGUGCAAGCGUUGUCCGGAAUUAUUGGGCGUAAAGAGCUCGUAGGCGGUCUGUCGCGUCUGCUGUGAAAACUCAGGGCUUAACUCUGAGCUUGCAGUGGGUACGGGCAGACUAGAGUGCGGUAGGGGAGACUGGAAUUCCUGGUGUAGCGGUGAAAUGCGCAGAUAUCAGGAGGAACACCGGUGGCGAAGGCGGGUCUCUGGGCCGUAACUGACGCUGGAGGAGCG